Molecule: ribosomal RNA, 280 nt
Filed under: uncultured bacterium
Lineage: Bacteria
Description: partial 16S ribosomal RNA
Rfam family: Bacterial small subunit ribosomal RNA
Source: RNAcentral
UGCCAGCAGCCGCGGUAAAACGUAGGAGGCAAGCGUUAUCCGGAGUUACUGGGCGUAAAGCGCGUGUAGGCGGUUGAGUAGGUCAGAUGUGAAAGCUCCCAGGCUAAACCGGGAGAGGUCAUUUGAAACCGCUUGGCUAGAGUGUGGUAGAGGGAUGUGGAAUUCCGGGUGUAGUGGUGAAAUGCGUAGAUAUCCGGAGGAACACCAGUGGCGAAGGCGGCAUCCUGGGCCACAACUGACGCUGAGACGCGAAAGCAUGGGGAGCGAACGGGAUUAGAUA